AGUCAUCACCUUUGAGGAUGGACAACCUUCAGCUUCAAAUGACUCAAAAUACCUACAGUCACCAGGCCCGUGAAGCCUUGCCAUUUUUGAGAGAAGGGAGCAGUGUCUACAGGAGGUGUCAUAUUUGUUGUGCCACCACCAGCCCCUAGAGACAUGACGUGGCACUCCCAGCCCAGCCCAGUCUGGUCCUGUGCAUCUGCGCGGCCACCUAGAAUACAGCCGCGCAGCAGCUCCUUGCAGCUCGUCAGAUAUACCACAAGAAUGAAAUGGAGAGGAGGAAGGCAGCAGCAACAGGAGGAAUGAAAAUCCCUCCCUGGAGAGUCUGCAUACUACAACUGAGAUUCAAAGACAGCAGCAUUAAAGUAUAGAGAAGAUCAAGUAGUACAGGUUCUACAGGGUUCUGAUGUCAUGGACCACAUGGAAGGUGACACAGUGCAUGCUGUGGUGCAGGUACUGCAGGGUGCUAAACCCAUUGCUGAUCAUUAGAAAUGGCUAGCACAGAUUUCUUAUAAUUCAGGCAGUUAAUUAAAUUCCACCCCACCCGAAAACAUGGAGCUUUAUAAAAUACCAUUGCAUGCCUGACAAUUUGCUAUUGGAAUUAGGUAUGCUGUAUGCUGCAUAAUUCUCAGCAGGCCCUCUCCAGUUGGAUUUGUAUAUUCAGCAUUUAGUUCCAGAAGCACCACUUAUUGGCACAUUCAGUACAGAAUCCAAUACAUGUAAGAAGUCUUAUCUACACCUACCUAUAUUAUGAUCAGCAGUUGUGAUUGCUACCUUACUGUACAGAGCUGAGACAUCUCAAGUUGCUGGAGAAACACUAUCAAUGCUACUUUCGGAAGAUUCUUUAAAUCCAGUGAGAAGGCAAAUGCACCAACAUUAGCAUUCUUUCACAACAAAUACCAUGAGCAGAGGCAACAAUCAUUCAACAUUAACUUUGUUGGACCAGCCAUGUCAUCCAGAUGUCUUACUCCAGGCUUCCAAAGCAAGUUUUAUUCUCCCAGCUCAGUCAAGGAAUAGGCUGAAGAAGAGGGCAGAGAAAGCUCUUCAAAGAUGUCCUCAAGGCCAGCUUCAAAAAUGCAACAUCAACUUUAACUCAUGGGAAGCCAUCACCCAGAACUGCCCCAAAUUGUUGAAGAGUUUGCUGUAAGGGUGUCAGUACUUUGAAACCUCAGGAUGACAACAGGAGACAGAAAUGUGGGAGCAGGAGAAAGCAUUUUUGCACUUAGAAAUGGAAUUUCUAAACCUAGUGCUUUAAGAAUUGACACAACGCUCAGUUGAUGAAUAGCAGAAAGGCUUGCUUUAAUUACUACCAAUUAGAAAACUAACUGACAGAAAAACAAAAGGCUUUUUCUUAGUGUUCAAUAAAUGACCUAUUACAGUCCUUGUAUUAUCUUAGCUGCAAAGAGAACUUUACCCAAUGCAAGCAGGAAGCAGUUCUUGUACAGCUUUACAGAGCAUGGGUCCUUCACUGGUCGGUGGGUAGCAGGAUGGCUUCUUGAUCUUCUCUGGACUCCACACAUCUUCCUGGCAGUUCUGUUUUGUUUUUGGUACUGUUUUAAUUGCAUAGCUUCAAAGCAUUCCUUCUUGAUAGUUGGUUAAUCAAAGUCCAAACAAAGCAGGCAAGGACAUCAUUAACAGGGAGGUAAUCCCAACAAGGAUCAAAGGGGACAAGAGGGCACAAAAGCCCCCAUGGCUCACCAAAAGCA
Long non-coding RNA from Alligator mississippiensis (American alligator), 1703 nucleotides. RefSeq lists it as uncharacterized. The record is from RefSeq and is a predicted model, not a curated record. Lineage: Eukaryota; Metazoa; Chordata; Crocodylia; Alligatoridae. The transcript is spliced from 4 exons.